RNAcentral lists this non-coding RNA (65 nucleotides) under Rhodococcus sp. (in: high G+C Gram-positive bacteria). RNAcentral also lists the same sequence under 1 other name. Lineage: Bacteria; Bacillati; Actinomycetota; Actinomycetes; Mycobacteriales; Nocardiaceae. The record is from RNAcentral.
UAUUGGUCGUCGAUACGACAUCCGGACGAGCGCACCGUACCCGGCCAGCGACAAGACGGUGCACA